Molecule: non-coding RNA, 258 nt
Organism: Notechis scutatus (mainland tiger snake)
Lineage: Eukaryota; Metazoa; Chordata; Lepidosauria; Squamata; Elapidae
Source: RefSeq, a predicted model, not a curated record
CUCCCUUUAUUUCUACAUGAAAUAUAUAAAGUUAAAAAUGGCAAAUGGUUAGAAAAUAAUUGGAGAGGACAGGGAGGAGGCUCUCCUAUUUAAACCCCAGAGAUUCUGUUUGAUUUGCUCUUCAUUACUGAAGUAUACGGUAUCAUCACAUUUAUAACAUAAAGAAGGUUAUAGAUGCUUAUGUGUCUGGAAAGGGAUUUUAAAAGAUCACCAAACGAUUUUACUGUCCAGAAGAUCUGUAGGUGGAACAGCUUUUAA